AGAGUUUGGGUUUGUUGUCUGUGCUGUGAGGAAGAAGAAGGAGUCUGUGCUGCGAGGAGCUGUCCAUGAGAAAUCACCGAGAAGCUUGUGUCUCCCUGGCACAGAUGCUGCUUUGAUCCAUGAAUGUUUCUGGUCUUUGGAAGAUGAGGAAGACUAGGAACUGUGCUCUUACUGCACAUCUGGGAAGAGUUGGAGACAGGGCGAAGUAUGGAGGGGCUUUGCAGCUGGUCUACAAGCAAAACUGAGUCAGUAGAAGAAAUAACAAUUGAUGAUUUUUGAGUGUAUCCAUACCAAAGAAGAAGACAAAGCUGUCAACAUAGGAACAAAUUAAAAGAGAUACAUGAAUAUUUUUGUAAGCUAAAAAUUUUUGUAAGCAUGUGUAUGUGUGUCUUAUUAAAUUUCUAUAAAACUUUUACCAAUUAUAUUGACACUUAUUACUUUACACCAAUAAAUAAGUUAUUAUGAUGUAGUUAAUAACUUACUUAAAAUCACACUUUAUUUUGUGUGUUCUCUAGGUUAUAUACACUCAAAAACUUUUUCUUCUUAAAACUUUUUCUUACCGUCCAACCUAACAGUAAGAGAUUUGCAAGGCUGUUGGCAUCACCUGCAUUCCUUGUCCCUUGCUCUAUAACUGGAAUAAAUAAAUUUUUAUGGAUAAGCCCAGCUUACCAGAUAAGUCAUUAAACUGCAUGAUUUCCUCCAGGGAAAGCGAUGGAUUGUCCAUGACACUGUGGAAAAUGAAUUUAUAGAGAAUUUUAAAAGAUUGAUAGAAGGUUUAUACAGUGUGUAUUUGCAUGUAAAUUUUGAGAUAAGAAAUGUUAAUUUAACAGACCAAUUUUGCAGAGCUGUGGGAAUAGCAGCUUUUGAGGAGAGAUUUAGGAAAGGAGAGUUCUCUGUGACCAUGGCUGGCUCUGGUUGGGCAGAGGAAGGUUUUGCACGUGUAAGGAUGGCUUGGCAGGCAUCCCAUGGCACAUCAACCUUCCCUCUGUGCAGGUUGAGCUGUGCUGAGGUUUUACAGCCAGAGGCUCUCCAGGAGAUGCUGGGUGAGCGAGAACCCCAUGGGAUGUCCUGCAGGUUCUGUUGUUUAACCAUGGUGAAACUCAUCCUGUUUUUAACUCAGUGCAACUACUGGUUCUGCUGGUGGUGUUUUGCUGCUCUAAGGGUUUGCAUGGCUCACAAACAGGUUUUGGAUGGAGUGUAUUCAUUUCCUUCUGAAAUAUGCUCAUGAAUGCGUGGCAAGAUUUCUUUGUGUCUUUCUCCAUCAGGACUGCAAAGGUUUGGGUUUGUUGGUUUGUUUCCCUGCCCGGAGCAGUAAAUCAACAGGCUGUAAUUAAAGAUGUUAAGAAGCUCCUUCAUUUUCCAGUCCAAAGUUUAAUUUACUGAAGCAUCUCUAACUAUCUGGCAGCUGAAUCACACAUUUUCUAUUUCUCCUCUCCUUUGUGGAGCAGGACAGAAGAGCAGAGACACCACUCUCAGUGCUGCUGAGUGACUCUAUCAGCUCAGGACACCCUUGGCUGUUCCCCUUCCCUCUUCCAGAGCAAAACCUUUUUCUCAGCACUGCUCCAACCUGGAUUUUUCCAUUCCCUGGUUGCUACUGUUGUUCUCCUUUUGUUUCCAAAAAGAAAAAAAAAAAAAACAGAUGUCUUUAGUGCUGUUUACCCCAGGAAACAUUUUGAGCAUUCAGUAAUAAAACUGGGAGGAAAUCCUUCACUUCCUUUAUGCCUCCUAGCAAGUAACCACAUCAAUAUGAAGUGAGGAUGUUUUUGGGUACUAACCCAAUGUCACCGAUCAAAACACAGCCAUAAAUACUUUCAAGAUGCAGCCUUGAAUCAGGAUGGUGCAUGAGGAAAAGCCACUUCUGUUUUGGAAAGGAAUGCUUUCCUUCUGCAACCACUUUCUAAAUUGCUCUGACAUUUAGCAAUUAACAUACAAAA
Long non-coding RNA from Zonotrichia leucophrys gambelii, 1934 nucleotides. RefSeq lists it as uncharacterized. Lineage: Eukaryota; Metazoa; Chordata; Aves; Passeriformes; Passerellidae. The transcript has 4 exons. The record is from RefSeq and is a predicted model, not a curated record.